This 668-nucleotide ribosomal RNA is filed under the name Barrenia panicia. Its description in RNAcentral is "eukaryotic LSU rRNA". It matches the Rfam family "Eukaryotic large subunit ribosomal RNA", at positions 245 to 937 of the family's 3401-position model. The record is from RNAcentral. Lineage: Eukaryota; Fungi; Ascomycota; Leotiomycetes; Helotiales; Mollisiaceae.
UGUAAAGCUCUUUCGACGAGUCGAGUUGUUUGGGAAUGCAGCUCAAAAUGGGUGGUAUAUUUCAUCUAAAGCUAAAUAUUGGCCAGAGACCGAUAGCGCACAAGUAGAGUGAUCGAAAGAUGAAAAGCACUUUGGAAAGAGAGUUAAACAGUACGUGAAAUUGUUGAAAGGGAAGCGCUUGCAACCAGACUUGCAGGCGGUCGAUCAUCCGAGGUUCUCCCCGGUGCACUCGAUCGUCUUCAGGCCAGCAUCGGUUUUGGUGGCGGGAUAAAGGCUCUAGGAAUGUGGCUCUUCGGAGUGUUAUAGCCUAGGGUGCAAUGCCGCCUACCGGGACCGAGGACCGCGCUUCGGCUAGGAUGCUGGCGUAAUGGUUGUAAGCGGCCCGUCUUGAAACACGGACCAAGGAGUCUAACAUCUAUGCGAGUGUUUGGGUGUCAAACCCAUACGCGUAAUGAAAGUGAACGGAGGUGAGAGCCCUUUAGGGCGCAUCAUCGACCGAUCCUGAUGUCUUCGGAUGGAUUUGAGUAAGAGCAUAGCUGUUGGGACCCGAAAGAUGGUGAACUAUGCGUGAAUAGGGUGAAGCCAGAGGAAACUCUGGUGGAGGCUCGCAGCGGUUCUGACGUGCAAAUCGAUCGUCAAAUUUGCGUAUAGGGGCGAAAGACUAAUCG